RNAcentral lists this transfer RNA (72 nucleotides) under Bos taurus (domestic cattle). It matches the Rfam family "tRNA". Rfam says of the family: Transfer RNA (tRNA) molecules are approximately 80 nucleotides in length. Their secondary structure includes four short double-helical elements and three loops (D, anti-codon, and T loops). The record is from Rfam by way of RNAcentral. Lineage: Eukaryota; Metazoa; Chordata; Mammalia; Artiodactyla; Bovidae. RNAcentral also lists the same sequence under 4 other names.
UCCCUGGUGGCUCAGACAGUAAAGCAUCUGCCUACAAUGUGGGAGACCCAGGUUCAAUCCCUGGAUCGGGAA